Molecule: unclassified non-coding RNA, 1372 nt
Filed under: Hevea brasiliensis (rubber tree)
Lineage: Eukaryota; Viridiplantae; Streptophyta; Magnoliopsida; Malpighiales; Euphorbiaceae
Source: RNAcentral
AAGUAUUCAACUGAGCAGAAAAGUUCUGCAAUAAAAUGAUAGAAUGCCAGUUGAUGAUAAUAAAUAUUCAAGUAAACAUAAAUACCAGAAAUAUAGCAGUUAUAGUUGAAAGAAUAAACAAAGAAAGAAGAUUUGUAAAAGUCAUUUUGCUUGUCAAAUAAUAGGCACAUAUAUAAAAGAAUGAUCUUCCAAGCAUAAAGAAGGGUCUUAAUUUCAUCCAUGGUCACUAAGCAUCAAUUUGUCGCAUAAAAGUCACUAAAUUUUAAUUUGUUCCAAUAAGAUUAUUAUUUUGAAAAAAAAAAUAAUAUUUAAAACUGAGCUAUGGUAGUUUCUUACUUGGCCAUUUUGAUUCAGGAUUAAAGCUAAAAACAGUGUCCUAUUGCAUGAGACUUUCCACAUUGCAGGCUCUAGGGAGGCUUGGAUUUAAGGCAUAGUGUAUGCUGGAAUCCCAUAAGUACAGGAAUUAAUUUAGUUUCUAUAUAUAGCUGAUUCCUAGUAACAAUGUAAUUAAUUUUUGUUUCAUUUCUUAGAUUUAGCUUCCUAUUCUAACGUUAGAUUAAUGUACAGAUAUAUAUAUGAGGCAUAUACAUAUCUUUAUUCAUUGAGAAAUACACUAGAUAAUUCUCUUCAAAAUCUCUGGUCUUCAUCAUGGUAUCAGAGCUUUCGAUUCAUUAGGGUGGGCUUAGUACCGUUUAUGUUUACUGUUCAUCAAACCAGUUCAUAGACACUGUUCACCGAAACAGUUCGUAGACACUGUUUACCAGCACUGUUCAUGGCAGGUGGACCAUUUUUCCAGCUUUUUUUCAACUGUAUCUCAUGUGUCACGCCUCUAUCCAACCCUUGUCCUUGACCUGACCACAAACGAAUGUGCAAAAUAGUGGAUUACUCUGAAGAAACAAAUGAUAUUGGGAAUUUUGUUCAAUGAAGAAGCCCAAUCCCUAAAGCGUUUGUUGUCUUGGCUUGAAUCUCAAUCUUCUACCGUUGUCUCUUCCAAUUUUGUUAAAUCAAGCAAUACUUUUUUCGUGAAUCUUGACAAAUACUUUUGCGUUAUAAAUUUUGGAGCAAACAAACAUAUAACAGGCUUUUUAAAUAAAUUUUCUACUUAUACUUCAUAUUCAGGAAAAGAAAAAAUCCGCAUAGAGGACGAAUUCUUAGCAAUUAUUUCUAGAACAAGUUUUGUUGCUUUGCACUCCCACCAUUGUUUCAAAUCGUGGUCACGAGUAAAGGAAACAAGCCAGUAACGGCCUAGCUCUACACAAAUUUUUUGAAAAUUUUGUGAAGUUCAUUAAAAAAAAACUAGAUAUUAGUAGACACUAAUAAAACUAAGAUACACAACCAUAUGACAAGCACAAAUAUAUCAAAUAAAGAUAUU